RNAcentral lists this ribosomal RNA (253 nucleotides) under uncultured bacterium. RNAcentral describes it as "partial 16S ribosomal RNA". It matches the Rfam family "Bacterial small subunit ribosomal RNA", at positions 524 to 776 of the family's 1533-position model. The record is from RNAcentral.
GACAGAGGGUGCAAACGUUGUUCGGAAUUACUGGGCGUAAAGCGUGUGUAGGCGGUCUCAUAAGUCGGAUGUGAAAGCCCCGGGCUCAACCCGGGAAGUGCAUUCGAAACUGCGAGGCUAGAGUAUCGGAGAGGUUGGUGGAAUUCUCGGUGUAGAGGUGAAAUUCGUAGAUAUCGAGAGGAACACCGGUGGCGAAGGCAGCUCGCUAAACUGUAACUGACGCUGAGGCACGAAAGCGUGGGGAUCAAACAGG